UACAGAGGGUGCAAGCGUUAAUCGGAAUUACUGGGCGUAAAGAGCACGUAGGUGGAUACCUAAGUCGAAUGUGAAAUCCCUGGGCUUAACCUAGGAACUGCAUACGAUACUGGGUGUCUAGAGUAUGGUAGAGGGAAGUGGAAUUUCCGGAGUAGCGGUGAAAUGCGUAGAUAUCGGAAGGAACACCAGUGGCGAAGGCGGCUUCCUGGACUAAUACUGACGCUGAGGAGCGAAAGCGUGGGGAGCAAACAGG
This 253-nucleotide ribosomal RNA is filed under the name uncultured bacterium. RNAcentral describes it as "partial 16S ribosomal RNA". It matches the Rfam family "Bacterial small subunit ribosomal RNA", at positions 524 to 776 of the family's 1533-position model. The record is from RNAcentral.